UACCUUUGAUGUAGUGGUUAUCACAUCUGCCAAUCACGCGGACGGUUCCAGGUUCGAGACCUGGUGGGACAA
Caerostris extrusa is the source of this 72-nucleotide non-coding RNA. The record is from the annotation of a GenBank genome assembly. NCBI's taxonomy places the organism in Eukaryota, Metazoa, Arthropoda, Arachnida, Araneae, Araneidae.